GACGAACGCUGGCGGCGUGCUUAACACAUGCAAGUCGAACGGAAAGGCCCUGCUUUUGUGGGGUGCUCGAGUGGCGCACGGGUGAGUCACCCGUGAGUAACCUGCCCUUGACUUUGGGCUACCUUCAGGAAACUGGGGCUAAUACCGGAUAGGAGCUCCUGCUGCCUGGUGGGGGUUGGCAAGUUUCGGCGGUUGGGGAGGGACUCGAGGCUUAUCAGCUUGUUGGUGGGGUAGUGGCUUAUCAAGGAUUUGACGGGUAGCCGGCCUGAGAAGGUGACCGGCCGCCAUGGGGCGAAGGAGACGCCCCGAAGACUCCGGGGGGAAGCAGUAGGGAAGAAUGCACAAUGGGCGGAAGACUGAUGCAGCAACGCCGCGGGGGGGAGGAAGGCCGUCGGGUGGUAGUCCGCUUUCGCCUGUGAAGAAGCAGGAAUGACGGUAAUUGGUAAAUAAGCACCGGCUAACUACGUG
This 468-nucleotide ribosomal RNA is filed under the name uncultured bacterium. RNAcentral's name for it is "partial 16S ribosomal RNA". It matches the Rfam family "Bacterial small subunit ribosomal RNA", at positions 28 to 507 of the family's 1533-position model. The record is from RNAcentral.